GACGAACGCUGGCGGCGUGCUUAACACAUGCAAGUCGAACGGUGAACGAGGGAGCUUGCUCCCUCCGGAUCAGUGGCGAACGGGUGAGUAACACGUGAGCAAUCUGCCCCGAACUCUGGGAUAAGCGUUGGAAACGACGUCUAAUACCGGAUACGACGCGGGAGGGCAUCCUCUCCGCGUGGAAAGAACUUCGGUUCGGGAUGAGCUCGCGGCCUAUCAGCUUGUUGGUGAGGUAACGGCUCACCAAGGCGACGACGGGUAGCCGGCCUGAGAGGGUGACCGGCCACGCUGGGACUGAGACACGGCCCAGACUCCUACGGGAGGCAGCAGUGGGGAAUAUUGCACAAUGGGCGCAAGCCUGAUGCAGCAACGCCGCGUGAGGGACGACGGCCUUCGGGUUGUAAACCUCUUUUAGCAGGGAAGAAGCGAAAGUGACGGUACCUGCAGAAAAAGCACCGGCUAACUACGUG
This 470-nucleotide ribosomal RNA is filed under the name uncultured bacterium. RNAcentral's name for it is "partial 16S ribosomal RNA". It matches the Rfam family "Bacterial small subunit ribosomal RNA", at positions 28 to 507 of the family's 1533-position model. The record is from RNAcentral.